GUUUGAUCCUGGCUCAGGAUGAACGCUGGCGGCGUGCCUAAUACAUGCAAGUCGAACGGAGAAUGUAGCAAUACGUUCUUAGUGGCGAACGGGUGAGUAACGCGUUGGUGACCUGCCCCAAAGAGGGGGAUAACAGUUCGAAAGGAUUGCUAAUACCCCAUGUGGUCACGGGGAUUAGAUGCCUUGUGACUAGAGGAGAAAUUCACUUUGGGAGGGGCUUGCGGCCCAUUAGCUAGUUGGCGGGGUAAUGGCCCACCAAGGCAGUGAUGGGUAUCCGGCCUGAGAGGGUGUACGGACACAUUGGGACUGAGAUACGGCCCAGACUCCUUCGGGAGGCAGCAGUAGGGAAUUUUGCGCAAUGGACGUAAGUCUGACGCAGCAACGCCGCGUGAGUGAUGAAGGUCUUCGGAUUGUAAAGCUCUGUUGAGUGGGAAGAAAAGUUGCGGUUCUAAUAAAACCGUGGCCUGACGGUACCGCUCGAGGAAGGACCGGCUAACUACGUGCCAGCAGCCGCGGUAAUACGUAGGGUCCAAGCGUUGUUCGGAAUCACUGGGCGUAAAGGGAGCGUAGGCGGAAUCGUAAGUUAGGAGUGUAAUAUCCGGGCUUAACCCGGAUCUUGCUUUUAAUACUGCGGUUCUUGAGUUUGGAAGAGGGAGAUGGAAUUCCAGGUGUAGCGGUGGAAUGCGUAGAUAUCUGGAAGAACACCAGUAGCGAAGGCGGUCUCCUGGUCCUAUACUGACGCUGAGGCUCGAAAGUUAGGGGAGCAAACAGGAUUAGAUACCCUGGUAGUCCUAACUAUAAACGAUGAGUACUAGACGUUGGGGGAGUCAAUCCUUCCAGUGUCGUCGCUAACGCUUUAAGUACUCCGCCUGGGAAGUAC
RNAcentral lists this ribosomal RNA (880 nucleotides) under uncultured bacterium. RNAcentral describes it as "bacterial SSU rRNA". It matches the Rfam family "Bacterial small subunit ribosomal RNA", at positions 11 to 883 of the family's 1533-position model. The record is from RNAcentral.